This 220-nucleotide ribosomal RNA is filed under the name uncultured bacterium. Its description in RNAcentral is "partial 16S ribosomal RNA". It matches the Rfam family "Bacterial small subunit ribosomal RNA", at positions 794 to 1010 of the family's 1533-position model. The record is from RNAcentral.
UCCACGCUGUAAACGUUGGGCGCUAGGUGUGGGGGGCCUCUCCGGUUCUCUGUGCCGCAGCUAACGCAUUAAGCGCCCCGCCUGGGGAGUACGGCCGCAAGGCUAAAACUCAAAGGAAUUGACGGGGGCCCGCACAAGCGGCGGAGCAUGCGGAUUAAUUCGAUGCAACGCGAAGAACCUUACCUGGGUUUGACAUCACUCGAAAACUCGCAGAGAUGCG